RNAcentral lists this ribosomal RNA (465 nucleotides) under uncultured bacterium. RNAcentral describes it as "partial 16S ribosomal RNA". It matches the Rfam family "Bacterial small subunit ribosomal RNA", at positions 28 to 507 of the family's 1533-position model. The record is from RNAcentral.
GACGAACGCUGGCGGCGUGCUUAACACAUGCAAGUCGAACGGAAAGGCCCUGCUUGCAGGGUACUCGAGUGGCGAACGGGUGAGUAACACGUGGGUGAUCUGCCCUGCACUUCGGGAUAAGCCUGGGAAACUGGGUCUAAUACCGGAUAGGAGCCAUUUUUAGUGUGAUGGUUGGAAAGUUUUUUCGGUGUAGGAUGAGCUCGCGGCCUAUCAGCUUGUUGGUGGGGUAAUGGCCUACCAAGGCGGCGACGGGUGGCCGGCCUGAGAGGGUGGACGGCCACAUUGGGACUGAGAUCCGGCCCAGACUCCUACGGGAGGCAGCAGUGGGGAAUAUUGCACAAUGGGCGCAAGCCUGAUGCAGCGACGCCGCGUGGGGGAUGACGGCCUUCGGGUUGUAAACUCCUUUCGCUAGGGACGAAGCUUUUUGUGACGGUACCUAGAUAAGAAGCACCGGCUAACUACGUG